Molecule: ribosomal RNA, 253 nt
Filed under: uncultured bacterium
Lineage: Bacteria
Description: partial 16S ribosomal RNA
Rfam family: Bacterial small subunit ribosomal RNA
Source: RNAcentral
UACGUAGGGUGCAAGCGUUGUCCGGAAUUAUUGGGCGUAAAGAGCUCGUAGGCGGUCUGUCGCGUCGAAUGUGAAAACCCGGGGCUCAACCCCGGGCCUGCAUUCGAUACGGGCAGACUAGAGUUCGGUAGGGGAGACUGGAAUUCCUGGUGUAGCGGUGAAAUGCGCAGAUAUCAGGAGGAACACCGGUGGCGAAGGCGGGUCUCUGGGCAACAACUGACGCUGAGGAGCGAAAGCGUGGGGAGCGAACAGG